AUUGAACGCUGGCGGCAUGCUUUACACAUGCAAGUCGAACGGUAACAGGCCUUCGGGUGCUGACGAGUGGCGAACGGGUGAGUAAUGCAUCGGAACGUACCCAGAGGUGGGGGAUAACGCAGCAAAAGCUGUGCUAAUACCGCAUGUGAUCUGAGGAUGAAAGCGGGGGACCGAGCAGCAAUGUUUGGCCUCGCGCCUUUGGAGCGGCCGAUGUCGGAUUAGCUAGUUGGUGGGGUAAAGGCCUACCAAGGCGACGAUCCGUAGCUGGUCUGAGAGGACGACCAGCCACACUGGGACUGAGACACGGCCCAGACUCCUACGGGAGGCAGCAGUGGGGAAUUUUGGACAAUGGGCGCAAGCCUGAUCCAGCAAUGCCGCGUGCGGGAAGAAGGCCUUCGGGUUGUAAACCGCUUUUGGCAGGAACGAAACGGUGUCCGCUAAUACCGGGCGCUAAUGACGGUACCUGCAGAAUAAGCACCGGCUAACUACGUG
Molecule: ribosomal RNA, 492 nt
Filed under: uncultured bacterium
Lineage: Bacteria
Description: partial 16S ribosomal RNA
Rfam family: Bacterial small subunit ribosomal RNA
Source: RNAcentral